GCUCGUAGGCGGUUCAACAAGUCGGUCGUGAAAGCCCGGGGCUCAACCCCGGGACGCCGGUCGAAACUGUUGUGACUAGGGUCCGGUAGAGGUGAGUGGAAUUCUCGGUGUAGCGGUGGGAAUGCGCAGAUAUCGAGAGGAACACCAGUAGCGAAGGCGGCUCACUGGGCCGGUACCGACGCUGAGGAGCGAAAGCAUGGGGAGCAAACA
RNAcentral lists this ribosomal RNA (210 nucleotides) under uncultured bacterium. Its description in RNAcentral is "partial 16S ribosomal RNA". It matches the Rfam family "Bacterial small subunit ribosomal RNA", at positions 567 to 774 of the family's 1533-position model. The record is from RNAcentral.